GGGGGGGGGGGGGGGGGGGGGGGGGGGGGGGGGGGGGGGGGGGGAGGGGCGGCGUGCGGGGUACGCGGGUGGCGGACGGGUGGGUAGCGCGUGGGUGAUCUGCCCUGCACUUCGGGGUAAGCGUGGGAAACUGGGGCUAAUACCGGAUAGGAACCAUCUGUCGUGGGUUGGGUGGACAGUUUUUUCGGUGUAGGAUGAGCUCGCGGCCUAUCAGCUUGUUGUUGUGGUAAUGGCCUACCAAGGCGGCGACGGGUAGCCGGCCUGAGAGGGUGUACGGCCACAUUGGGACUGAGAUACGGCCCAGACUCCUACGGGAGGCAGCAGUGGGGAAUAUUGCACAAUGGGCGCAAGCCUGAUGCAGCGACGCCGCGUGGGGGAUGAAGGCCUUCGGGUUGUAAACUCCUUUCGCUAGGGACGAAGCUUUGUUGUGACGGUACCUAGAUAAGAAGCACCGGCUAACUACGUG
This 466-nucleotide ribosomal RNA is filed under the name uncultured bacterium. RNAcentral's name for it is "partial 16S ribosomal RNA". The stretch from base 49 to 466 matches the Rfam family "Bacterial small subunit ribosomal RNA", at positions 39 to 507 of the family's 1533-position model. The record is from RNAcentral.